CUAGCGACUUCAGAGUUUGAUCCUGGCUCAGGACGACGCUGGCGGCGUGCCUAACACAUGCAAGUCGAACGGAGUUAUUGAGAAGCUUGCUUCGAUUUAACUUAGUGGCGGACGGGUGAGUAACGCGUGAGCAAUCUGGUUCAAAGAGGGGAAUAACGCAGGGAAACUUGUGCUAAUACCGCAUAAUGUACAGAGACCGCAUGGCCUUUGUACCAAAGGAGCAAUCCGCUUUGAAAUGAGCUCGCGUCCGAUUAGAUAGUUGGCGGGGUAACGGCCCACCAAGUCGACGAUCGGUAGCCGGACUGAGAGGUUGAUCGGCCACAUUGGGACUGAGAUACGGCCCAG
RNAcentral lists this ribosomal RNA (345 nucleotides) under uncultured bacterium. Its description in RNAcentral is "bacterial SSU rRNA". It matches the Rfam family "Bacterial small subunit ribosomal RNA", at positions 1 to 334 of the family's 1533-position model. The record is from RNAcentral.